RNAcentral lists this ribosomal RNA (479 nucleotides) under uncultured bacterium. Its description in RNAcentral is "bacterial SSU rRNA". It matches the Rfam family "Bacterial small subunit ribosomal RNA", at positions 903 to 1397 of the family's 1533-position model. The record is from RNAcentral.
AAAGGAAUUGACGGGGACCCGCACAAGCGGUGGAGCGUGUUCUUUAAUUCGAUGGUAAGCGAAGAACCUUACCAGGGUUUGACAUCCUACUAAUCUUGCCGAAAGGCGAGAGUGUCUUCGGACCGUAGUGACAGGUGUUGCAUGGCCGUCGUCAGCUCGUGUCGUGAGAUGUUUGGUUAAGUCCAUCAACGAGCGCAACCCUUGUGAUUAGUUGAAUUUUUCUAAUCAGACUGCCCCGGUAACGGGGAGGAAGGGGGGGAUGAUGUCAGGUCAGUAUUACCCUUACACCCUGGGCUAGAAACACGCUACAAUGGCCGGUACAAAGGGCUGCCAAGUCGCGAGACGGAGCAAAUCCCAUCAAAGCCGGUCUCAGUUCGGAUAGCAGGCUGAAACUCGCCUGCUUGAAGUCGGAAUCGCUAGUAACGGUAGGUCAGCACACUACCGUGAAUACGUUCCCGGGUCUUGUACACACCGCCCGU